GCAUAACACAUGCAAGUCGAACGAGAGAAUUGCUAGCUUGCUAAUAAUUCUCUAGUGGCGCACGGGUGAGUAACACGUGAAUAACCUGCCCCCGAGAGCGGGAUAGCCCUGGGAAACUGGGAUUAAUACCGCAUAGUAUCGAAAGAUUAAAGCAGCAAUGCGCUUGGGGAUGGGCUCGCGGCCUAUUAGUUAGUUGGUGAGGUAACGGCUCACCAAGGCGAUGACGGGUAGCCGGUCUGAGAGGAUGUCCGGCCACACUGGAACUGAGACACGGUCCAGACACCUACGGGUGGCAGCAGUCGAGAAUCAUUCACAAUGGGGGAAACCCUGAUGGUGCGACGCCGCGUGGGGGAAUGAAUGUCUUCGGAUUGUAAACCCCUGUCAUGUGGGAGCAAAUUAAAAAGAUAGUACCACAAGAGGAAGAGACGGCUAACUCUGUGCCAGCAGCCGCGGUAAUACAGAGGUCUCAAGCGUUGUUCGGAAUCACUGGGCGUAAAGCGUGCGUAGGCUGUUUCGUAAGUUGUGUGUGAAAGGCGCGGGCUCAACCCGCGGACGGCACAUGAUACUGCGAGACUAGAGUAAUGGAGGGGGAACCGGAAUUUUCGGUGUAGCAGUGAAAUGCGUAGAUAUCGAGAGGAACACUCGUGGCGAAGGCGGGUUCCUGGACAUUAACUGACGGUGAGGCAUGAAGACCAGGGGAGCG
RNAcentral lists this ribosomal RNA (703 nucleotides) under uncultured bacterium. Its description in RNAcentral is "bacterial SSU rRNA". It matches the Rfam family "Bacterial small subunit ribosomal RNA", at positions 46 to 770 of the family's 1533-position model. The record is from RNAcentral.